AUUGAACGCUGGCGGCAGGCCUAACACAUGCAAGUCGAACGGCAACAGGAAGCAGCUUGCUGCUUUGCUGACGAGUGGCGGACGGGUGAGUAAUGUCUGGGAAACUGCCCGAUGGAGGGGGAUAACUACUGGAAACGGUAGCUAAUACCGCAUAACGUCGCAAGACCAAAGAGGGGGACCUUAGGGCCUCUUGCCAUCGGAUGUGCCCAGAUGGGAUUAGCUAGUAGGUGGGGUAACGGCUCACCUAGGCGACGAUCCCUAGCUGGUCUGAGAGGAUGACCAGCCACACUGGAACUGAGACACGGUCCAGACUCCUACGGGAGGCAGCAGUGGGGAAUAUUGCACAAUGGGCGCAAGCCUGAUGCAGCCAUGCCGCGUGUAUGAAGAAGGCCUUCGGGUUGUAAAGUACUUUCAGCGGGGAGGAAGGGAGUAAAGUUAAUACCUUUGCUCAUUGACGUUACCCGCAGAAGAAGCACCGGCUAACUCCGUG
This 490-nucleotide ribosomal RNA is filed under the name uncultured bacterium. RNAcentral's name for it is "partial 16S ribosomal RNA". It matches the Rfam family "Bacterial small subunit ribosomal RNA", at positions 30 to 507 of the family's 1533-position model. The record is from RNAcentral.